UUACCGAGUAUUCUGUCGUUCUCGACAGAGCUCCCGUCCUGUGUCAUGCGUGCCGAGAGCCCCGCGAGGGGUGCGCUUGGUGAACACGUUUCGGCGGAGGUGUUGCGCACGGGCCGCGCCGGGUAACCGGUGGCAGGACCGUGGGUGACCGCCGUCGGUCUUUUAACUCUUGCGAAAGUAUGAAGUCUGAAAUGAAAUUUUUUAAAUUGAAGCAAAACUUUCAACAACGGAUCUCUUGGCUCUGGCAACGAUGAAGAACGCAGCGAAAUGCGAUAAGUAAUGCGAAUUGCAGAAUCAGUGAAUCAUCGAAUCUUUGAACGCACAUUGCGCCUCUUGGUAUUCCGAGAGGCACGCCUGUUCGAGCGCCAUUACACACCCCAAGCUCUGCUUGAUGUUGGACGUCUCCCGAAAGGGGGUGUCUGAAACGCCUGGGCGCCCGCCGCCGACCACGAGCGUAGCACGAUUUCCACAUCAUCGCUUCGUUGGAUCGACGGAGGGUCUGUCAGACCUUUUCUAGUAAAAAGCACUUGGCCUCGGAUCAGGCGGGGAUACCCGCUGAACUUAAGCAUAUCAAUAA
RNAcentral lists this unclassified non-coding RNA (577 nucleotides) under Matsushimaea fasciculata. Its description in RNAcentral is "sequence contains 18S rRNA gene, ITS1, 5.8S rRNA gene, ITS2". The stretch from base 216 to 368 matches the Rfam family "5.8S ribosomal RNA". Lineage: Eukaryota; Fungi; Ascomycota; Dothideomycetes; Venturiales; Sympoventuriaceae. The record is from RNAcentral.